UGGACUAAUUAUUGUAUUCGAUUUUAUUCACGGCGUGAAACAGGGGAUUACACUGUUUUUAAACGGAAAGUGAAUCAAUUAACAUAAUAGACUCCU
Molecule: microRNA precursor, 96 nt
Filed under: Nicotiana sylvestris (wood tobacco)
Lineage: Eukaryota; Viridiplantae; Streptophyta; Magnoliopsida; Solanales; Solanaceae
Description: MIR6152 microRNA precursor family
Rfam family: MIR6152 microRNA precursor family
Source: Rfam by way of RNAcentral